GACGAACGCUGGCGGCGUGCUUAACACAUGCAAGUCGAGCGGUAAGGCCCUUUCGGGGGUACGACGAGCGGCGAACGGGUGAGUAACACGUGGGUGACCUGCCCUCAGCUCUGGGAGUAAGCCUGGGAAACCGGGGUCUAAUACUGGAUAUGACUCCAUGACGCAUGUUGGUGGGGGUAGGAAAGCCUUGUGCGGCUGAGGA
RNAcentral lists this ribosomal RNA (202 nucleotides) under uncultured bacterium. RNAcentral's name for it is "partial 16S ribosomal RNA". It matches the Rfam family "Bacterial small subunit ribosomal RNA", at positions 28 to 225 of the family's 1533-position model. The record is from RNAcentral.